Molecule: ribosomal RNA, 331 nt
Filed under: uncultured Butyrivibrio sp.
Lineage: Bacteria; Bacillati; Bacillota; Clostridia; Lachnospirales; Lachnospiraceae
Description: partial 16S ribosomal RNA
Source: RNAcentral
GGAGUUUGGGCCGUGUCUCAGUCCCAAUGUGGCCGUCCGACCUCUCAGUCCGGCUACAGAUCGUCGCCUUGGUGGGCCGUUACCUCACCAACUAGCUAAUCUGACGCGGGCCCAUCUCGUACCACCGGAGUUUUUCACACCAGGUCAUGCGACCUUGUGCGCUUAUGCGGUAUUAUCAGUCGUUUCCAACUGCUAUCCCCCAGUACGAGGCAGGUUGCCCACGCGUUACUCACCCGUCCGCCACUAAGAUUAAACAAGAAUCCGCCGAAGCCUCAUCAGCGUCUAAUCUCCGUUCGACUUGCAUGUGUUAGGCACGCCGCCAGCGUUCAUC